UCACAUUCUCAUAAAAAAUAAAUUAAAAAGUAACAAUAACUAACAAACAAAUAAAAAUGAUAUUUUUGGUAGAAAUAGUACAAGCCUCCCUACUUCACAUUUUAAGCUUCCAUGUUUCCUUCCUUUUAAAUCUUCACCAACUUUGCACUCCAUUAAAAAGUAGAAGUCUCAUCUUCACUAACUUUGUACUCCACCAAAAAAUAGAAGUCUUCAGUUGUCACUCCAUAAUUUAUGCAAAAUAAUAGAAAAACCUAAACUAAAUUUAUCUCAUGGACGCAACAAUUAAUUCUUGUAGCAUAUAAAUUGAGAACCAAAAAUUAAAAAAAGGGUGGAGGUUUUUUUCUUAAAAAAAAUUAGUAACAUAGAAAAGAAAUGACUUUUUUUCUCUCGAAAUAAGAGAGGAAAGAAUAAAAGUUUUUUUUUUGGAAAAAAAAAAGAGAAGGAACAACUUAGAAAAUCAGUGAUGGAAAAGAUAUACAGAUCCAAAAAUCCAUCAUACCCUUUCAUCAAAUCAAGCAAUAGCCAUAAACAGACACAAACCCCUUUUAACAACUGAGGAUAACUACUACUUCCGUUGUCUACGUCUGCUGCUCGCAACUCCUACAACCCUUUGAGUCGUCACGUCGAAGGCUGACUCCGACCUACCACAAACCGUGAUACUCUACUUCUUCACUCUUCUCUAUCAAACUUACCUUGGAUUUGUUUCUCUCUUCCAACUCCUUUCUUUUCUCCCCCUCUAAGCGGCUUUCUUUUUUCCACCCUUUGAAUGGCACAACAAAUAUAGUUGUCAUUUUGUUUACCUUUUUUUUU
Molecule: long non-coding RNA, 810 nt
Filed under: Cicer arietinum (chickpea)
Lineage: Eukaryota; Viridiplantae; Streptophyta; Magnoliopsida; Fabales; Fabaceae
Description: long non-coding RNA (CARI_LNC002797)
Source: RNAcentral